CCCCCGACGUCAAUGUCUUCCACAUGAUCCCCUUCUUCUCCCUCAGCCUCAUGGUCAUCCCGAUCCACCCCACCAGCACCAAUUAAAGCUACAUCGGAGAAGGCUUACAUCAACGAGACAAUGCAAGAGGAGCUGAUUGACUAACUGGAGGGGAAGGGGUUCUGGAGGAGGAGCAAGAGGAGGCUUAUAAACCUAUCACAACCAUCGCAGAGCGUAUAGAGCCGGGAGAGAAGGUGGAGGGGCUGGUCACUGAGCAAGCAAAUCCAAGCGAG
RNAcentral lists this long non-coding RNA (272 nucleotides) under Elaeis guineensis (African oil palm). Its description in RNAcentral is "long non-coding RNA (EGUI_LNC013670)". The record is from RNAcentral. Lineage: Eukaryota; Viridiplantae; Streptophyta; Magnoliopsida; Arecales; Arecaceae.